GCAUCGGUAGUGUAAUAGAUCAGCACGGCAGAACGGAAAUCUGGGAGCGCGGGUUCGAGUCCCGCCUGAGGUG
RNAcentral lists this transfer RNA (73 nucleotides) under Dictyocaulus viviparus (bovine lungworm). It matches the Rfam family "tRNA". Rfam says of the family: Transfer RNA (tRNA) molecules are approximately 80 nucleotides in length. Their secondary structure includes four short double-helical elements and three loops (D, anti-codon, and T loops). Lineage: Eukaryota; Metazoa; Nematoda; Chromadorea; Rhabditida; Metastrongylidae. The record is from Rfam by way of RNAcentral.